UUUCUUAUUAAUUUUAUAAAUAUAUAUUCAGUGCCUGGAAAUACUCCCCAGAUGUCAUUGUGAACCAAGAGAACAGUUCCCAUCUUCACAGAGCUCAGUUAAUUAAGCCAAUUAAGCAACUAAUUACAAUUUAACCAGUUAAAUGUGUACUUAAAAAUGAAAUGAGCAACAUGUGAGGCCUGAUGAAGAGAAGGUAAACUAGUCUUGGGGUCAGGGAAGCUCACCAAAAGUUAGAAUAUUUAACCCAAGGCCUGACGGAUGCAGGCAGGACCAGCCAGCCUUGUGGCUAUGUAUCCAUACCAGCCCUUGGAAUGUGUACUCUGGGGCAUGACAUUUACAUUUUCUUCUCAUCUCUGAAUUGUGCUUUGUAAUUAGAGUCCCCUGGGACAGUGACCCUGGCAGCUUGACCCCACAGACUGUUGAAUCCUGCCACCUUUUCACUCAAAGCACAGGCGCUUAGAUCUUCCCUCCCUGGGGCCCUGGACUCCCUGGCAGAACCUGGGAGUGGGAAGGAUGGUAUAGAUGUCCCCACCUUGGUCUGGCCCUGCCAUAGCCCACACAGUGGGCUGCUCUGCAGAGCUGAGAGUCUAAGUCCCAGCCCCCAUCUGGGGACACUGGAGUGGAGGGCUAGAUGCCUUUCAGUUUUGCUUGUUCACUAUGGUUGUUUGCAGUAGCAGGUUUAUGUGAUGGAGAUGUACCUGGCUCCCCUUUUUCAUAUCUAGCUGGGCCACAGGAUGGUGACUGUUGGUGGUGAGGAUAGUAGAAGAGACAUUAGCAGAAGGUCUGACCUUACCCAUACAAUGGUCCAGUGACAGGUAACGACAUAGCCAUGGCCAUUAAAGAUGACGUGUAAAAAGAUAGAUUCUGUUUUGUUUUAGUAACUUUAUUAGUGGGGGUUUCCUACUUUUUGAAAAAAAAAUCUUCCAUAUCUUCCAUUUUCACAUGAAUGGAGUCCCAACCUCUGUUCUCACUCCCAGUGGUACCCCAGUGUUUGCUGAGGGGAGAGGGGAGGGGUGGGCGUAUGCGUUCCUGGUACUACAGGAAGGCUCAGCAGAAAGAGGGCUUGGGUUGAAGGAGUUACAUGGGAAAAGGGGUUUUGCAUUCUUAAAAAUGUAUUUAUUUUUAUUCCACGUGGAAAUGGUUGUAAGCAGCCAUGUGGAUCCUGGGAAUUGAACCCAGGUCCUCUAGAAGGACAGCUAGUGCUGUUAACUGCUGAGCCAUCCCUCCACCCCACCAGGGUAGUAUUUUCAAAAGCCUUUCAGACCCUCAUGUGAUGUGGGAUGGGGUCUAGGAAAGGCACACAACGCUGCCCCUGCAGGAACUGAAACAGGCCCUGGGGAUAGAGACGGAUAAGAGGGUGGCCUUGAGAAAGAUUUAUGAAUUGACCAGAUGGGACUUGCUGACUAGUGAAGGUGACUCACGAAAGGGGGCUAUAGAGACAGAGCUCAGGGAAGGCAAAAAAUGGCACUGGGAUUUCAGAGCAGGGGACAGACAGGUGGUAGUAACACUCAGAAAGGCAGCUUGGGGAAUAAGGUAAGUUCAAAAGCAAACAUUUGGGUUACAGGUGCCUGUGUCUACACCGUGGACAAUUGGUUUUGCAGGGUGGAGUAUUUGGUGACAAAGGUCUCCUGCUGUGGCAUGUGCCAGACCGGCUAGGAUGUGAGGCAGGAAAAAAAAAGGCUUCCUGUUAGUGCCUUGCACAAGCCAAGUCUGAGUGCUGCACCAUGGCUAUGACUGAGUGUCCUGGCCCUUGACUAAGGGGAUGGGCUUCCACAGGCUGUCUCCUCCAAAUCCUCUCCUACUCUCUCUCUCUUCUCUAGCAUUCCAUGAGAGUACCAGACCUGUAUUUGGGCCUGAAGUAUCCUUCUGCCUAUUGUAUAUCAGCAGGGAAGCCACAGAUCCCAAACAGAAGAGGAAACUGAAGCCCAGACAGGGCACGGAGUUAUGGGAAUACACAACAGACAAGGGGUAGCACAUGGAGAUGCAUUCUUGGACAUACUGUAUGAUUUCCACAUUCCCCAGUAGCCUUGUUUGUGGUGGAAUAACCUGGUAUACUUGAGAGAGGCUUCUGUGUGGAUGAGGAUCUUCUGGCCUGUAGCACCUUGUACAUCACCAUUAGGAGCUGCAUGUCGAGCGUCUCCAUGCUCCUCAGAAUGGGUGACCCAGCCAGGCAGGCCCUGGCCACUAGAUCCUUAGGUUAUUCUAGAAUCCAAGGAUAUAAUCUCCAGUGGCUGUGCCAAAUGAUUAUGUCAG
RNAcentral lists this long non-coding RNA (2253 nucleotides) under Mus musculus (house mouse). RNAcentral describes it as "long non-coding RNA chr1:136057180-136059433". Lineage: Eukaryota; Metazoa; Chordata; Mammalia; Rodentia; Muridae. The record is from RNAcentral.